Molecule: long non-coding RNA, 1150 nt
Organism: Neocloeon triangulifer
Lineage: Eukaryota; Metazoa; Arthropoda; Insecta; Ephemeroptera; Baetidae
Exons: 3
Source: RefSeq, a predicted model, not a curated record
AUUUACUGCGCGCCUCCAGAAGCAUUUCUGCGCGCGUGGGUCUAUUGCACCCCUUGCUCGAGAGGCUUGUGAGAAAGAUUAAAAGCCACGUUUAGAAGUGAUCUGACCGCGAAAAUCCAUUAAAAUCUCAGCUUGGCCUUCGAUGACUGCAUGAUGGCAUCAACGGACGGCCACGAAAACAGCUGAGCAACUCCACCAACAGCUAUUUUGAAGCAGAAAAAUUAUGAAGUGAGAAGAAAAAGAAGUUGAGCCGGCUGCUCUUGUGCUGGGAAAGAAGAAAAUGCAGAGCGAUGAAUUACGAGGACCGCCUUUCAGCAGUCGGGGCCGAAUUGUAACAGAAGAGCCCCUGCCUGCCCUGUUCGGAUGUUUGCGCAGCAACUGACGCCUUUUGUGUGCUCUCGCGAUAAUUAUUUUCAUGAGUCAGUCGGUUGAAUUGGCUGCUGCCAUUCAGCCUUUAUGAUGUAAAAUUCGGCAUGGUCGGUGUUGUAGCUCUUUAAUUGAGACACUACAUUUUCCACGCCAUGAAUUUCCUCCUCGGGACAGCUGAAAUGUCGUCGGUUGUCACUUUCCCUUUUCCCCUUGAUAUGCCGACGAGCAUGAAUUCGCUCUCAAAAGAGCAUAAAAAAAAUUGAUUUGUGUACUCACCAAGUCGUUCCAGACAAUCCUUUGAGUGACGAGUUUCUCUCGGCAUACCUCUGUAAAUUACACCGAGAGACAAAAAAUUAGAAAAUUAUUCACUUUUAUAGCUUUAGCUGCUGCUGCUGCUAAUAAAUUCCUAUGAAUAUACAUGUGUGUAGCUAUAAAGACUGCUUUAUUGGAGAUUAAGGCUGCACAAAAGACAAUUUCAGAGCUCCAUAAUGGUACAAAUUAACGAUUAAGUUAAUUUUUUAUGCCGUCCUAAAGGUGUCAUUUUUAUUAUUCAUGAGGGUAAAAUACGAGCGUAAAAAAUUUGAAAUUAAUAGGCUUAGGAAGUUCUCUAUCUAAAUUAUCAGAGAAACUUCUUGCACGGUUUGGAUUAUUAAAUUUAGGAACAUCAAAUUUAUGACUUAAUCAUUUAAAUAAUAUGCACUUUAGAAACCAAGGAAAAUUGAGAAUGUUAAGGAUCAUUUUUAUAAAAUGAUGAGGGCUCAAUAUAAUAGACUGGACAGAG